CCCUUAGAUGUUCUGGGCUGCACGCGCGCUACACUGACACGUUCAACGAGUUGUUGCCUGGGCCGAGAGGUCUGGGAAAUCUUUUGAAAUCGUGUCGUGAUAGGGAUAGAUUAUUGCAAUUAUUAAUCUUCAACGAGGAAUUCCUAGUAAACGCAAGUCAUCAGCUUGCAUUGAUUACGUCCCUGCCCUUUGUACACACCGCCCGUCGCACCUACCGAUUGAAUGGUCCGGUGAAAUCUCGGGACGGCGGCUUGGUCGCUUGCGUCCGACUGCUGAAACUUGAUUAAACCAUAUCAUUUAGAGGAAGGUGAAGUCGUAACA
RNAcentral lists this ribosomal RNA (321 nucleotides) under uncultured eukaryote. RNAcentral's name for it is "partial 18S ribosomal RNA". It matches the Rfam family "Eukaryotic small subunit ribosomal RNA", at positions 1470 to 1796 of the family's 1831-position model. The record is from RNAcentral.